GCUCCCAUCGUCUAGGGGUCUAGGACAGCGCCCUCUCACGGCGUAGACCGGGGUUCGAAUCCCCGUGGGAGCGCCA
This 76-nucleotide transfer RNA is filed under the name bacterium. RNAcentral's name for it is "tRNA-Glu". It matches the Rfam family "tRNA". Rfam says of the family: Transfer RNA (tRNA) molecules are approximately 80 nucleotides in length. The record is from RNAcentral. RNAcentral also lists the same sequence under 2 other names.